Molecule: ribosomal RNA, 2282 nt
Filed under: human gut metagenome
Description: bacterial LSU rRNA
Rfam family: Bacterial large subunit ribosomal RNA
Source: RNAcentral
GAAAGUAGGAAAGGGCGCAUGGCGGAUGCCUUGGCUCUCGGAGGCGAUGAAGGACGUGAUAAGCUGCGAUAAGUCACGGGGAGGUGCAAAUAACCUUUGAUCCGUGAAUCUCCGAAUGGGACAACCCGAUAUCCUGAAGGGAUAUCACCUUACAUAGUAAGGAGCUAACGCAGGGAACUGAAACAUCUUAGUACCUGCAGGAAAAGAAAAUAACAAUGAUUCCCCCAGUAGUGGCGAGCGAACGGGGAAUAGCCCAAACCAUUCAUGUUACGGCAUGGAUGGGGUUGUAGGACCACGGCGUUGCAAGAGAUCUUGUGAGAAGAACAGCCUGGAAAGACUGACCAGAGACGGUGACAGUCCGGUAUUCGAAGCAAGACGAAGCAUAGUGGUAUCCUGAGUAGCGCGGAACACGAGGAAUUCUGCGUGAAUCUGCCGGGACCAUCCGGUAAGGCUAAAUACUCCCGAGAGACCGAUAGUGGACCAGUACCGUGAGGGAAAGGUGAAAAGCACUUCGAACAGAAGAGUGAAAGAGUACCUGAAACCGUGCGCCUACAAGCGGUCGGAGCACGAAAGUGUGACGGCGUGCCUUUUGCAUAAUGAACCUACGAGUUACCGUAUCUGGCAAGGUUAAGGGUCACGAGACCUGCAGCCGAAGCGAAAGCGAGUCUGAAGAGGGCGUCGAGUCAGUUGCGGUAGACGCGAAACCAAGUGAUCUACCCUUGGCCAGGAUGAAGUCUGGGUAACACCAGAUGGAGGUCCGCACCAAUAAGCGUUGAAAAGCUUCUGGAUGAGCUGAGGGUAGGGGUGAAAGGCUAAUCAAACUUGGAGAUAGCUCGUACUCCCCGAAAUGCAUUUAGGUGCAGCCUCGCGGGUUACUGAUGUGAGGUAGAGCGACUGAUUGGAUGCGAGGGCUUCACCGCCUAUCAAGUCCUGACAAACUCCGAAUGCGCAUCAGUUUUACCGCGGGAGUGAGGGCAUGGGUGCUAAGGUCCGUGCCCGAGAGGAGAAGAAUCCGGACUAUCAGCUAAGGCCCCGAAAUGACAGCUAAGUUAAACUAACGAAGUCUGAUUGCUAAGACAGCUAGGAUGUUGGCUUGGAAGCAGCCAUUCAUUUAAAGAGUGCGUAACAGCUCACUAGUCGAGGAAUCGGGCGUGGAUAAUAAUCGGGUAUUAAGUUGUCUGCCGAAGCUAUAGAAUCAGCAAUGAUUGGUAGGGGAGCAUUCCAUUCGGCGUUGAAGGCGUGGCGUGAGCCAUUCUGGAGCGUAUGGAAAAGCAAAUGUAGGUAUAAGUAACGAUAAAGGGGGUGAGAAACCCCCUCGCCGAAAGACUAAGGUUUCCUGAUCAACGCUAAUCGGAUCAGGGUAAGUCGGGUCCUAAGGUUCAGCCGAACGGCGAGACCGAUGGCAGAAACGGUUAAUAUUCCGUUACUACCUUUGAGGGUGACGUGGGGACGCAGGAGUGACACCGCCGCCGGCUGACGGAAUAGCCGGUUAAAGAGUGUAGACGUUGAUUUCCGCAGGCAAAUCCACGGAAAGAGUCGAACUUGACAGUAUGGAACGUCCUUCGGGACAAUCCAAUAGUGCGGGUAAGCAGACUGCCGAGAAAAUCCGCUAAACAUAACUUCAGAGGUACCCGUACCGCAAACGGACACACGUAGUCGGGUUGAAUAUACUAAGGCGCUUGAGUGAUUCACGGUUAAGGAACUAGGCAAACUGACCCUGUAACUUCGGGAUAAAGGGUCCCUACCCAGAAAUGGGAGGGCGCAGAGAAUAGGUCCAGGCAACUGUUUAACAAAAACACAGGGCUGUGCCAAUAUGAAAGUAGACGUAUACAGCCUGACACCUGCCCGGUGCUGGAAGGUUAAGAGGAGAUGUCAUCGCAAGAGAAGCAUUGAAUUGAAGCCCCAGUAAACGGCGGCCGUAACUAUAACGGUCCUAAGGUAGCGAAAUUCCUUGUCGGGUAAGUUCCGACCUGCACGAAUGGUGUAAUGAUCCGGACGCUGUCUCAACCGUGAGCUCAGUGAAAUUGUAGUAUCGGUGAAGAUGCCGAUUACCCGCGAUGGGACGAAAAGACCCCGUGAACCUUUACUAUAGCUUAGCAUUGAAUUUGGGCACGCGAUGUGUAGGAUAGGUCGGAGGCAAUGAAUCGGGCACGCCAGUGUUCGUGGAGCCGCUGUUGAAAUACGACCCUUCGUUUGUUUGAGUUCUAACUUCCGGAUAGAAGGACAUUGCUUGGUGGGUAGUUUGACUGGGGUGGUCGCCUCCAAAAGCGUAACGGAGGCUU